CAGAUCUAGCAGGGCAGAAAUUUUAUCAACUGACUUGUUGGAAAGGCUGUGAUGGACUGGCGGCCUUUCCAGGGUAUCUCCCCGCCUGCCGCCCAAUGACUGCUGGGAUAGGCUCCAGCAUACCCACGACCCUGAGUAGGAUAAGCGGUUUGGAUAAUGGAUGGACUUGUUGGAAAGGUGGCAUCCUAUGACAGUGCCAUGUUGAAAGUCAUUGAGCUCGUGCACCAUCCUGAAAUUUAUGUAGAGGUCUGUGACUGGAUGUCAGCUAGGAGGAACCUAUGGCUUCAGGCAGACUUGGAACAACCAAUGCCUCUCUACUGGUUUCCACAAGAUCUAUUGGACUGUUGGAAUUGUGUGUUCUGCUGUGCAUGGCCAACACUUCAGGCAGCAAAGUGUUUGGCCACGAUUCAGCUUUCUGCAACUUUCAAAUGUUUGAAUCAGAAAUAAAAGAGCAGAUGGA
Molecule: long non-coding RNA, 460 nt
Organism: Lampris incognitus (smalleye Pacific opah)
Lineage: Eukaryota; Metazoa; Chordata; Actinopteri; Lampriformes; Lampridae
Exons: 3
Source: RefSeq, a predicted model, not a curated record